UGAUGUGUCCAUAGGCCGUUAGAGGAAUAUGUAUCCCGAGAAUUCAUGCUACAGCAUAGUUUCUCCUCACUUGGGAAAAUGCCUUCAGGAUAGAAACCUUGUUUAAUAUAUUUGUAUGUUCCGAAAUUGUCCCCCGCCUCACCAGCACAGGCUGUUCAACAUAAACGGGCUGGGUUGAAUUGAAUCGGGCAGAGUUGACAGAACACAGGACCAGGAAGCAGGUCACCCAAGCUGCUGGCCCUGCCAUGGCUCCUGGUGGACAUGAGGGAGAUAUUAGGAACAAUAUCACAGAAGGGGUGUACACUGCCUCUGAUACUG
Molecule: long non-coding RNA, 318 nt
Filed under: Pan troglodytes (chimpanzee)
Lineage: Eukaryota; Metazoa; Chordata; Mammalia; Primates; Hominidae
Description: long non-coding RNA NONPTRT017364
Source: RNAcentral